GAUGAACGCUGGCGGCGUGCCUAAUACAUGCAAGUCGAGCGAACGGACGAGAAGCUUGCUUUUCUGAUGUUAGCGGCGGACGGGUGAGUAACACGUGGAUAACCUACCUAUAAGACUGGGAUAACUUCGGGAAACCGGAGCUAAUACCGGAUAAUAUUUUGAACCGCAUGGUUCAAAAGUGAAAGACGGUCUUGCUGUCACUUAUAGAUGGAUCCGCGCUGCAUUAGCUAGUUGGUAAGGUAACGGCUUACCAAGGCAACGAUGCAUAGCCGACCUGAGAGGGUGAUCGGCCACACUGGAACUGAGACACGGUCCAGACUCCUACGGGAGGCAGCAGUAGGGAAUCUUCCGCAAUGGGCGAAAGCCUGACGGAGCAACGCCGCGUGAGUGAUGAAGGUCUUCGGAUCGUAAAACUCUGUUAUUAGGGAAGAACAUAUCUGUAAGUAACUGUGCACAUCUUGACGGUACCUAAUCAGAAAGCCACGGCUAACUACGUG
This 497-nucleotide ribosomal RNA is filed under the name uncultured bacterium. RNAcentral's name for it is "partial 16S ribosomal RNA". It matches the Rfam family "Bacterial small subunit ribosomal RNA", at positions 28 to 507 of the family's 1533-position model. The record is from RNAcentral.